GACGAACGCUGGCGGCGUGCUUAACACAUGCAAGUCGAGCGAGGCCCUUUCCUUCGGGAAAGGUGCCCUAGCGGCGAACGGGUGAGUAACACGUGGGCAACCUGCCCCUAGCACUGGGAUAACUCCGGGAAACCGGGGCUAAUACCGGAUAUGACCUCUGAGGGCAUCCUCUGGGAGGUGGAAAGGAUUCUGGCUAGGGGUGGGCCCGCGGCCUAUCAGCUUGUUGGUGGGGUAACGGCCCACCAAGGCAAGACGGGUAGCUGGUCUGAGAGGACGACCAGCCACACUGGAACUGAGACACGGUCCAGACACUACGGGUGGCAG
RNAcentral lists this ribosomal RNA (324 nucleotides) under uncultured bacterium. Its description in RNAcentral is "bacterial SSU rRNA". It matches the Rfam family "Bacterial small subunit ribosomal RNA", at positions 28 to 351 of the family's 1533-position model. The record is from RNAcentral.